Molecule: long non-coding RNA, 1604 nt
Filed under: Daphnia magna
Lineage: Eukaryota; Metazoa; Arthropoda; Branchiopoda; Diplostraca; Daphniidae
Description: uncharacterized LOC123472286, transcript variant X1
Source: RNAcentral
AAUAAAGUUUAAGCAAUCUUUUUUGUUUUGGAAAAUUUAUUAAUUAUCGCUGCGAAUGUGCGGCGUUGUGGCCAUGGUGUGGCCAAAGUGCCGUGGAAAGGUCAGGGACUUUUUCUACAAUCAACAUGGUUGGAAUUUAAUGAUGGUGUUUUAUCGCAUUAGAAGUGUUACUAUAGAAAAAGUGGAAUGGCCAAAUGGAUGACUGCCCAACAUCAUCAUACGUCCAGCCAUAUGAGUCAAUCUUUUAAACAUCUGCCUUCACCAGGUAAACCUCUGCUUCCAAUGAAAAGGACACCAAUCCUCUUUGUGGGAAACGGCUUGGCGUGUUGGAAUCUUUUGCAGCAGUAGCUAUCAUGAGCCAUCUAUUCAUACAACAGCAAUUGGCCACAUGUAUUUUCUUAACAAGAGCUGAUCAUAAUCGUAUUCGAUGCGAUGAAUCUUUUUAAACAUUUUUGAAGAUGCAGCAGCGAUUUCGGAACGAUCUUGGCUGAUUUUCGCUCCCCACAUGCCUAGUUAAUUAUUAACGUCUGAAUUAAGCCACAAACGCGUCGACGUUGUAAAAGUUAAAAAUGUUUUGAAAUUAGCAGUUUCAUUUAUAGAUGCUUAAGAAAACCAUUUGUAACCACGAACAAAAAGAAUUUACCUCCGAGCAUUAAAGUGCAGUGAUCAUGGUGAUCUCUCAUGACGUGGAAAAUCCGAUCACUGGCCAACCAUUCACCGACAGCCUCUUGUUCACGCUGAAUAAUCAGACUGUCAGAGUCUCUCGACAUGAAAGUGUCAACCAUUUCAUCAAGUAAAGGUAACUUACAUUGCAAGCAGUUAAACAGAAAUUAAUUGGAUAAUAUGCAAAAGACAUUUGUGGUAAUUACCCAACGCCAAGUCAUGGCAAAUGUAAUAUUAUUUAGUUUUUUAUUAUGAAGGAUUUCUGUUGCAUUGCACAAAUCCACGUGUGUUCCAACGUUUAAUUCCCUUUUUAGCGUAGUCCAGGCUGACGUACCGCUGUCUUCAUUGGUUUGGUUGUGGUAAACUCUUGCAAUCCAGCCUUUGAGUUUUACAAUAACAUUUUCUUGCAUUUUUUUUAUUUAGUUAUUUUAUUUCUUUAACUCAAAAGGAGGUACUACCUGGAUAGAUGGAUGGAAUCUUCUCGAGCGUCUCUCUGAGUGGGUAUAAAUACCGUUGGAUAAUUUCUUGUUGUGAAAAAUUGCCGUAAAGGGAAUAAGCAAUAAUAUUUUGGUGAGGGCCUCUGCGAUCAGCAUUCAAGCCACAAGUCGAUAAUGGCCUUCCUCCCACUUCCACGUUGAAAUAAGUGAUUCGAAAUGAUUUUACCGCUAAUUCGUAUAAAACUAUAACGGCCAGCACAUUCGUAAAAAUGAAAACAAAAAGAGGAAGACGUCGACAGAACUGAAAUAUUUUGUGGCGAAGCAUAAUACGAAACAUGUUGAUGUGCUUACUCAGCUCAAGUGAACUUGGAUAUGCAAGAAAUUGAAACCAAACGGCUUUCUUUUACGCAGUUGUUCAAAACAUUCUUUUGUGCAACAUGCGUAUAGGAAACCAGGAAAUAGCCUUUGCUACGAGUUAUUUGGGCCAUGUUUUGAACAGGCAAG